This 380-nucleotide ribosomal RNA is filed under the name uncultured bacterium. Its description in RNAcentral is "partial 16S ribosomal RNA". It matches the Rfam family "Bacterial small subunit ribosomal RNA", at positions 355 to 724 of the family's 1533-position model. The record is from RNAcentral.
UGGGGAAUUUUGGACAAUGGGCGCAAGCCUGAUCCAGCCAUGCCGCGUGCGGGAAGAAGGCCUUCGGGUUGUAAACCGCUUUUGUCAGGGAAGAAAUCUUCUGAGUUAAUACCUCGGGAGGAUGACGGUACCUGAAGAAUAAGCACCGGCUAACUACGUGCCAGCAGCCGCGGUAAUACGUAGGGUGCAAGCGUUAAUCGGAAUUACUGGGCGUAAAGCGUGCGCAGGCGGUUUUGUAAGACAGAGGUGAAAUCCCCGGGCUCAACCUGGGAACUGCCUUUGUGACUGCAAGGCUUGAGUGCGGCAGAGGGGGGCAUGGAAUUCCGCGUGUAGCAGUGAAAUUGCGUAGAUAUGCGGAGGAACACCGAUGGCGAAGGCAA